This 57-nucleotide ribosomal RNA is filed under the name Tuber aestivum (summer truffle). RNAcentral's name for it is "partial 28S ribosomal RNA". It matches the Rfam family "Eukaryotic large subunit ribosomal RNA", at positions 1 to 57 of the family's 3401-position model. Lineage: Eukaryota; Fungi; Ascomycota; Pezizomycetes; Pezizales; Tuberaceae. RNAcentral also lists the same sequence under 1 other name. The record is from RNAcentral.
UGACCUCGGAUCAGGUAGGGGUACCCGCUGAACUUAAGCAUAUCAAUAAGCGGAGGA